RNAcentral lists this ribosomal RNA (229 nucleotides) under uncultured bacterium. Its description in RNAcentral is "partial 16S ribosomal RNA". It matches the Rfam family "Bacterial small subunit ribosomal RNA", at positions 568 to 796 of the family's 1533-position model. The record is from RNAcentral.
UACGUAGGCGGAAAAUUAAGUCAGUAGUGAAAUCCUGCAGCUUAACUGUAGAACUGUUAUUGAUACUGGUUUUCUUGAAUAUAGUUGAGGUAAGCGGAAUGUGUAAUGUAGCGGUGAAAUGCUUAGAUAUUACACAGAACACUGAUUGCGAAGGCAGCUUACUAAGCUAUGAUUGACGCUGAGGUACGAAAGCGUGGGGAGCGAACAGGAUUAGAUACCCUGGUAGUCC